RNAcentral lists this ribosomal RNA (530 nucleotides) under uncultured archaeon. Its description in RNAcentral is "bacterial SSU rRNA". It matches the Rfam family "Bacterial small subunit ribosomal RNA", at positions 509 to 1050 of the family's 1533-position model. The record is from RNAcentral.
CAGCCGCCGCGGUAAUACGUAGGUGGCAAGCGUUAUCCGGAAUUAUUGGGCGUAAAGAGUGAGCAGGUUGCCUUUUAAGUUCGAAGUUUAAUUCAGUUGCUUAACAACUGGCCGCUUCGAAAACUAUAAGGCUAGAGUGCAGGAGAGGUUAGCGGAAUUCCAUGUGUAGCGGUGAAAUGCGUAGAUAUAUGGAGGAACACCAGUGGCGAAGGCGGCUAACUGGCCUGUAACUGACGCUGAGUCACGAAAGCGUGGGGAGCAAAUAGGAUUAGAUACCCUAGUAGUCCACGCCGUAAACGAUGAGUGCUAAGUGUUGGGGAGACUCAGUGCUGAAGUUAACGCAUUAAGCACUCCGCCUGAGGAGUACGUUCGCAAGAAUAAAACUCAAAGGAAUUGACGGGAGCCCGCACAAGCGGUGGAGCAUGUGGUUUAAUUCGACGCAACGCGAAGAACCUUACCAGGUCUUGACAUCCGACGCAAGACACUAGAGAUAGUGGGAUAGUUAUGGUCGAGACAGGUGGUGCAUGGCC